Molecule: ribosomal RNA, 465 nt
Filed under: uncultured bacterium
Lineage: Bacteria
Description: partial 16S ribosomal RNA
Rfam family: Bacterial small subunit ribosomal RNA
Source: RNAcentral
GACGAACGCUGGCGGCGUGCUUAACACAUGCAAGUCGAACGGAAAGGCCCCUUUGGGGGUACUCGAGUGGCGCACGGGUGAGUAACACGUGAGUAACCUGCCCUUGACUUCGGGAUAACUUCAGGAAACUGGGGCUAAUACCGGAUAGGAAUCCUUGCUGCAUGGUGGGGGUUGGAAAGCUUCGGCGGUUUUGGAUGGACUCGCGGCUUAUCAGCUUGUUGGUGGGGUAGUGGCUUACCAAGGCUUUGACGGGUAGCCGGCCUGAGAGGGCGACCGGCCACAUUGGGACUGAGAUACGGCACAGACGCCUACGGGAGGCAGCAGUGGGGAAUAUUGCACAAUGGGCGGAAGCCUGAUGCAGCAACGCCGCGUGCGGGAUGACGGCCUUCGGGUUGUAAACCGCUUUCAGCAGGGGCGAAGCUUGUGGUGACGGUACCUGCAGAAGAAGCACCGGCUAACUACGUG